RNAcentral lists this ribosomal RNA (429 nucleotides) under Chloroflexota bacterium. Its description in RNAcentral is "Chloroflexi bacterium partial 16S ribosomal RNA". It matches the Rfam family "Bacterial small subunit ribosomal RNA", at positions 355 to 776 of the family's 1533-position model. Lineage: Bacteria; Bacillati; Chloroflexota. The record is from RNAcentral.
UGGGGAAUAUUGCACAAUGGGCGCAAGCCUGAUGCAGCCAUGCCGCGUGUAUGAAGAAGGCCUUCGGGUUGUAAAGUACUUUCAGCGGGGAGGAAGGGAGUAAAGUUAAUACCUUUGCUCAAUGACGUUACCCGCAGAAGAAGCACCGGCUAACUCCGUGCCAGCAGCCGCGGUAAUACGGAGGGUGCAAGCGUUAAUCGGAAUUACUGGGCGUAAAGCGCACGCAGGCGGUUUGUUAAGUCAGAUGUGAAAUCCCCGGGCUCAACCUGGGAACUGCAUCUGAUACUGGCAAGCUUGAGUCUCGUAGAGGGGGGUAGAAUUCCAGGUGUAGCGGUGAAAUGCGUAGAGAUCUGGAGGAAUACCGGUGGCGAAGGCGGCCCCCUGGACGAAGACUGACGCUCAGGUGCGAAAGCGUGGGGAGCAAACAGG